RNAcentral lists this small nuclear RNA (119 nucleotides) under Nannospalax galili (Upper Galilee mountains blind mole rat). Lineage: Eukaryota; Metazoa; Chordata; Mammalia; Rodentia; Spalacidae. The record is from RNAcentral.
GUACCAGAACAGUCCUUGCGGUAUUCAGUGGUACAUUUGCUAAAAUUAGAAGGAAACAGAGAUUAGCAUGACCCCUGUGCAAGAUGGCAGGAAAGAUUCCUGAAGCAUUCUGAAUUUUU